This 21-nucleotide non-coding RNA is filed under the name Arabidopsis thaliana (thale cress). The record is from RNAcentral. Lineage: Eukaryota; Viridiplantae; Streptophyta; Magnoliopsida; Brassicales; Brassicaceae.
AGGAGGGUUUCUGGUUUAACA